CCUCGCAGUCUUUUCACCUGGUUUCCCUCGCCUCCCUGCUCGCUUGCGCUGGGACCUGUGCUGGCAGCAGGAGGUGGAGGGAGGACCCGGGGCACCAUAGAAGCCGGGAAAUGGACUCAGUGACCUUUGAGGAUGUGGCUGUGAACUUUACCCAGGAGGAGUGGGCUCUGCUGGAUUCUUCCCAGAAGCAUCUCUACAGAGAUGUGAUACAGGAAACCAUCAAUAACCUGAUGUCUGUAGGAAUAAUAUGGCAAGGCCAGAACACUGAAUAUCAUUGCAAAGAUUCCAGAAGAAAUCCCAAGAAAUCAUAUGGCAGAGAGACUCUGUGAAUGUAAAGACGGUCAAUGUGAUGAAACUUUCAGCAUUAUUCCAGAUGCUAUAAUGAACAAGAAGACUUUUCCUGAGGUAAAACCAUGUGAAAGCCAUGUGUGCGCAGAAGGCAACAUGGAUCAUUCAUCUCUGAAUUGCUGCAUCAGCACUGACACUGGACACAAGCCAUAUGAAUGUCAGGAACAUGGAGAGAAGCCACAUAAAUGUAAGCAGUGUGUGGAAACCUUCAGCUGUCUCCACUCCUUUCAAACACGUGAAAAGCCUCACACUGGAGAGAAAGUCUAUGAUUGUAAGAAAUGGGAAAAAACUUUCAUUUCUUUCCAAACUGUUCAAAGUCACAGGGUAAUGCACAGUGGAGAUGGACCUUAUACAUGUAUUUGUGGGAAAGCCUUUGAUAAUCUCAGUUUAUAUCUCACGCAUGUAAGAUCUCAUACUGGACAGAAGCCAUAUAAAUGUAAUGAAUGUGGGAAAGCCUUUGAGUUUCUCAGUGACUUUCACAGACAUGAUGAAAGAACGCACACCAGGGAGAAGCAGUAUGAAUGUAAGCAAUGUGGGAAAGCCUUUCGUCAUUCCAGGUCCAUUCGAACACAUAUAUAAGAAAUCACACUGGAGAGAAACCGUAUGAAUGUCAGCAAUGUGGGAAAGCCUUUAGUAAUUCCAGUUACAUUAGAAAACAUGCAAGAAUUCACACUGGAGAGAAACCGUAUGAAUGUAAGCAAUGUGGGAAAGCUUUUAAUAGUUCCAGUUCCAUUCGAACACAUGCAAGAAUUCACACUGGAGAGAAGCCCUAUGAAUGUAAGCAGUGUGGGAGAGCCUUUGCUUUUCUAAGUUCCUUUCAAUAUCAUGAAAGGAUUCACAGUGGUGAGAAACCCUAUGCAUGUCAGCAAUGUGGGAAAGCCUUUCGUUGUCCCUGUUCCGUUCGAAGACAUGAAAUAAUUCACACUGGAGAGAAACCGUAUGAAUGUCAGUAAUGGGGGAAAGUCCUUCAGAUACUACAGUUCACUUCAAGGACAUAAAAAUUCACACUGGAGAGAAGCCAUAUGAAUGUGGGGACUGGGGGAAAGCCUUCACUCAUCAUUAUUUGUUUGCAUAAACAUAAAAUUGCCCAUACUGCAGAGAAGCCUUAUGAAUGUUAGGAAUGUGGGAAAGCCUUCAGUUAUCUCAUUCCUUUUUGUAGACAUAAAAUUACCCAUACUGCAGAGAAACUUUGAGUGUAAGGAAUGUGGGAAAGCCUUCUGUUAAUCACAGUUCCCUUCAACGACAUGAAAAAACUCACAGCAGAGAAAAGGUGUAUGGAUAUUUUAAAAGGCCAUGCAUGGUGCCUCAAGG
Non-coding RNA from Saimiri boliviensis boliviensis (Bolivian squirrel monkey), 1659 nucleotides. The record is from RefSeq and is a predicted model, not a curated record. NCBI's taxonomy places the organism in Eukaryota, Metazoa, Chordata, Mammalia, Primates, Cebidae.